NGAGCAGCCUGGUAGCUCGUCGGGCUCAUAACCCGAAGGUCGUCGGUUCAAAUCCGGCCCCCGCAACCA
This 69-nucleotide transfer RNA is filed under the name Salmonella enterica subsp. enterica serovar Enteritidis str. EC20120229. RNAcentral's name for it is "tRNA-fMet (CAT) (tRNA-fMet-CAT-2-1)". It matches the Rfam family "tRNA", at positions 9 to 71 of the family's 71-position model. Rfam says of the family: Transfer RNA (tRNA) molecules are approximately 80 nucleotides in length. Their secondary structure includes four short double-helical elements and three loops (D, anti-codon, and T loops). Lineage: Bacteria; Pseudomonadati; Pseudomonadota; Gammaproteobacteria; Enterobacterales; Enterobacteriaceae. The record is from RNAcentral. RNAcentral also lists the same sequence under 1 other name.